AGCGAACGCUGGCGGCGUGCUUAACACAUGCAAGUCGAGUGCGCAGUCUGCUGUAGCAAUACAGCAGGCCGGCGCACGGCGCACGGGUGCGUAACACGUGGGCAACCUGCCCUCCAAAGGGGGAUAACCCGCCGAAAGGCGGGCUAAUACCGCAUGACAUUCCGGUGGCUUCGGCCGCCGGAAUCAAAGUCCGCAAGGACGUUGGAGGAGGGGCCCGCGCCCGAUUAGCUUGUUGGCGAGGUAACGGCUCACCAAGGCUUUGAUCGGUAG
This 270-nucleotide ribosomal RNA is filed under the name uncultured bacterium. RNAcentral describes it as "partial 16S ribosomal RNA". It matches the Rfam family "Bacterial small subunit ribosomal RNA", at positions 29 to 286 of the family's 1533-position model. The record is from RNAcentral.